GCUGAGGAGUCCCAUAAUAGGACGAAACGGCCGUCC
Schistosoma rodhaini is the source of this 36-nucleotide non-coding RNA. The record is from Rfam. NCBI's taxonomy places the organism in Eukaryota, Metazoa, Platyhelminthes, Trematoda, Strigeidida, Schistosomatidae.